ACUUGUAAAUUUUCGGUCCGGUUCCGGGUCGGAUAUUUUUGGGUCGGUUCCGGUUCGGGUCUUCGGGUCCAGGUUAAAAUGCUCAGGCCUACCUCAAAAUUUAGCUUCCAAAUUAAAAAUAGCUUAUUUGAAAAUACGCAUAAAGCUUAUAUUAUAUAAAAUAUCUCUAAAAUUAGUAGUACUAAAAAAAUAAAAAAAAUCAACACAAUAACAGCACAAUAUUCUCUCUCUAACGGAUGACACAUCAAAUUUUUAGAAACCUGUGAGACUACCCAGUCAUAAAUGAAAAAAUUGUGAAAAACCAAUCAAGUCAUUUUAUUCAUACACCGCAUGAAAUUAUAAUCCACCUGUUUCUUUCUUUUGUCAAACAGAAAUUUGUUUAACAAUCACGACGCCAAAGCGUUAUCUUCUUUUCAUGCACAUCUUUUGAUUUUAUUAUCCAUGGUUCAACCGCUACAGCUAACAGUGACCUAAUUUCUUUGUCCCAGAUCCGGUGCUCCGUGAUUAUAUUCGCAGUCAUGGCAGUGGCACAAGCUUUGAUCCGCGUUUAUCUUCUUUUCAUCCUUGCCGUGAAUCCACUUCAUCGUGGCCGAUAUCUUCAUCGCGGCUCGUCAACAUCGGCUUCUCCAUCUCUGGAUCGUGUUCUCAGCUCCAAGCCGAGGUCUCCAUUACACCGGAACAGGUUCGUCAUCGUCGUCAAGCCCAUAUUCCAGAGAAGAGUCAAUCAACCACAAUGGCUGGUUUUUUCAUAUUUGCAUUUUUCAGUCCUCCAAAUACCUGAUUAUGUUUAUUGCACGAUGGUCCCUCUUCUUUUGUUUAUUUUCUAAUCGGACACAAACGUUUGAAUUUGCAGAAAUGACCUCUUAAAUUAACCUUAAACUUCCAAAAAUACAAUCUAGCCCUUGAUUUUUGCAAAUGCAAUAUUAACACCUAAAUACAACCUAAAAUGCUGAAAAAGCUUAAAAAGUCUAAAUAUCAUAAAAAUGAUGAGAUAUCAAGAAUCAAAAUAAAUCUCUAAAGAACUAUGAUGGUUCUUAAGAUCAUAUCAAUGACUCUUUUUUAUUCUCCGCUCCUCUCUCAUCGUUGUAGAUCCUAAAAUCUACACUAAGAAUUUGAUAGUGAUCGGGAGUUUAAUCAGGUGAAGAUAAAUAAUGUAGGCAACAAUAUCUUUAACAUAACGAUAUAAUCAGUUUCCGAUAAGGAAAAAUGAACUUGUAUUGAUGAAGGAGAUCAAAUACAAUGAGUAAAAUAAGAUCGAAUGUUACAACGAGAUCGCUAAGAGAAAAGAUCUAAAGAUUGAUGAAAACAAGGUCGAAGUGUGGGUGUAGCUCUUUCUAGGCUUUUCAAUGUGUCCUUCUUCAUGUUCAUUCCUCUUUCUUUAUAGUGGGUCGACACCGUGAUCUUCGUAACGUCUCCGCGAUCUCUGGGCCCUCGAAAUCUCCGUCUCGAACUCGUAUACUCGCUAUGGGCUUCGGCUCUUUACGGCUCACAUCCUCGAUCGUGGCCCAUUAUCAUAUUGACCGAAAUUGGAUCCAAUCGUUGUUGUUUUGUUUCCUAUCUUCUUCUUCUUCAAUUAUAUGAUAUCCAACUCAUAUAUGCCGAUUAUAUAUGAUAUUUUUCAAAACAUCAUUAAUGUCAAGAUCUCUUAAAUAUGAUUUUAUCGAUAAAUAUGAGGUUUCUUAAACGAACUCGAUCAUGGGAAGUAAAUGAAUUUUCUUCCAAAAGAGUUUUCAGCCAAUUUGAUAGUGCUCAUGCCUUUCUUAUAGGCUUUAAGCGCAGAAAUAAAGGUUUGAAAUGGAAAUAAAAGAUAUAAUAUGAUCGCAAAGGACUUUCAAAUGCUUAAUAAAUUUAUCUUUUUUUAUAGACAACAAUUAUAAAUAUAAAAUAGAAUAUUGGCUAAAUACAUGAAAAUUAUUUAUCUAAUAUAUACAUAAAUACACUAUUAUGUAAAAAUCUAUAUACUCCAAAUUUGUUUAUAUAUAUGUUAUUUUGAAGAACAUUAUAAGCUGAAGUCUUAGUGCAGAAGAUAAUAAGCCUUACGAGGAGAAGUAACAUCUUGAGAAGGAAGCUUACUUCCAGGUCAUUGCUAAGGAAAAACAUGAGAGAGAGAGAGAGAGAGAGAGAGAGGCCAUGAAGCUUCUGGACGAUGAGCAUAAGCUGAAAAUUGCAAUGGGUUUACUUGAUUAGUAUCUCCAGCUUGUGUAGGAAGCUAAACAAGACAAUAAGAAGAAGAGCAAGUAAAACUACAGAUUACCUUCAGAAGACAAAAUCAAGAGAUUAUUAAUGGUUAAACUUACUAGAGCUAUUGUUGGUUUGCAGGAAGCAUAAGGAUCCUCUGAAGCCAAAGCAUCCUAUACUUGCCUUCUUGGUUUAUGUUAACGAGAGGAGAGCUGCUUUCCGUGAAGAGAAUAAGAAUGUACUGGAGGUAAAUUUAAGUACUUUAAUUCAUUCUCAGGAUCCACUUAAAAAAAAAAAUGUUGAUCAUAAAGAAGAUUGAUUAAUAGGUCACAAAGAUGACGGGAGAACUGGAAGAAGUUGUUAGACGAACAAAAAACACCAUAUGAAGAGGUUUAUUUUUUUAUUGUAUAUAUGCUUGCAUCGACAGCUAUUUAAAAACUUAAGAGUGAAUGAACUGGGGUAUUUUAACAGAUGGCAAAGAAGAACAAGAA
Long non-coding RNA from Brassica napus (rape), 2669 nucleotides. RefSeq lists it as uncharacterized. NCBI's taxonomy places the organism in Eukaryota, Viridiplantae, Streptophyta, Magnoliopsida, Brassicales, Brassicaceae. The transcript has 2 exons. The record is from RefSeq and is a predicted model, not a curated record.